GAUGAACGCUGGCGGCGUGCCUAAUACAUGCAAGUCGAGCGAACAGAUGAGGAGCUUGCUCCUCUGACGUUAGCGGCGGAAGGGUGAGUAACACGUGGAUAACCUACCUAUAAGACUGGGAUAACUUCGGGAAACCGGAGCUAAUACCGGAUAAUAUAUUGAACCGCAUGGUUCAAUAGUGAAAGACGGUUUUGCUGUCACUUAUAGAUGGAUCCGCGCCGCAUUAGCUAGUUGGUAAGGUAACGGCUUACCAAGGCGACGAUGCGUAGCCGACCUGAGAGGGUGAUCGGCCACACUGGAACUGAGACACGGUCCAGACUCCUACGGGAGGCAGCAGUAGGGAAUCUUCCGCAAUGGGCGAAAGCUUGACGGAGCAACGCCGCGUGAGUGAUGAAGGUCUUCGGAUCGUAAAACUCUGUUAUUAGGGAAGAACAAAUGUGUAAGUAACUAUGCACGUCUUGACGGUACCUAAUCAGAAAGCCACGGCUAACUACGUG
This 497-nucleotide ribosomal RNA is filed under the name uncultured bacterium. Its description in RNAcentral is "partial 16S ribosomal RNA". It matches the Rfam family "Bacterial small subunit ribosomal RNA", at positions 28 to 507 of the family's 1533-position model. The record is from RNAcentral.